GAGUCGGUGUUGGAGGGACAUAGUGGAGGAAAACUCAACUCUCCAUUGCUGGGUUUGAAGAUGAAGAAAGGGCUCCACUAGCCGAGGAAGCCCUUGUUGAAAAAUACAGCAGUCCUGAUAGAGAGUCCCAGGAGAGGAAAGCAGGGCCAGCACCGUGGAAAACACUGCAGCUCUGCACAAGUAGCAGCAAUCAAACUGUCAUGGGCCAACUCCUGAACUUGGAGGAACUGUAGAAUGCUACUGUCUGUGCUCUCACUGGAAAGGAAAUCAUUCCCUGAAUCCUCUGCUUCAUCUUGUACAAACACUAAGUGCUCAGCUGAAAAGCCCAGACCUGCUCUUGUUAGAUUAAGAAGAAUAAAAGAAGUG
This 366-nucleotide long non-coding RNA is filed under the name Heterocephalus glaber (naked mole-rat). RNAcentral's name for it is "lncRNA (ENSHGLG00000037812.1)". The record is from RNAcentral. Lineage: Eukaryota; Metazoa; Chordata; Mammalia; Rodentia; Bathyergidae.